Molecule: long non-coding RNA, 1814 nt
Filed under: Sus scrofa (pig)
Lineage: Eukaryota; Metazoa; Chordata; Mammalia; Artiodactyla; Suidae
Description: lncRNA (ENSSSCG00000035571.3)
Source: RNAcentral
AUAGCACUUAAACUAUUGAGAAUGGAGGAUCCCAGGACAACAUUUAAAAUGACAGCUAAUGUCUGUGGAAACCCUGGGCGUUUAGGAGUGGCCUAAAGCUAGAGUUCUCUUUGAUUACGGGCACCACUUUCAGAUAAAAACAUAGACCUGAAUGGCAUCAUCCAGUAUCCAAGGAAACCAUUUCUUACAGUACCCUGGAACAUAAUUCACCAUGGCCAGGAUGAAUCUGCUGUACACAGGAGUGAUCCUUCUAACCUGCCAUGUCCAUAGUUAUGUGAGAAUCUAGGAUGGAGCUGAAAGAACUGUAUCUUCCUGGAUCAUACCCAAAAGGUCUCUAAGUGCACUGAUGACAGGAAAAUCUUCAGUGGUUCCAGAGACAAGCUGCUGGAAAUCCUGCACAUUUAUUUUCUAGAAGGAAAUGAGCUGAUGAGGAAUAAUCCCUUCAGAGAUCCUCCCUUUAAAAAACCUUAAAGGACUCCAAAUUAAAGCAUAGCCAUUUCUGGGACCCUAAAGUGACUCAAAAAAAGGAAACAUCACUUACUUAAUGUUAGGUGAAUUUCAAAAGCCUUAAUAAGGGGAGAGCAAAGGUAGGGAGAAAGAUGGUGAAUAAAUUGUGAGAACCUACCAAGUAAAGAAAUAUCUUUUAAAUUCCACGCAUCAUGUUUUAUUUCACUUUGUAUUUCAAUUAAAAAAGGAAAAAUAUGCAUUUUAAAAAGAUAUAUUUUUUGCUAUUAAUAUUAGCACUUAAUGUCUGAGUACAGAUCCAUCAUUCAUUAGGUCUACAGUAGCCCACAGCCCUAAUUUAUAAAUUCAUAAUCACAAGUCAGAUCAACUCAAUUGCUCAAGGCUGUGUAUUUGCAAGUUAGAGUAUACACUGCAAAUUUCCUGUCUUUGGGCCGGUAUACUGAGCAAUGGUACUUUUUAAAAAGAAUUUGCUCAUAUCUUAGAUUUAACAGAGUUGAAAAUGUUUAACCAAUAUCACUCAUGUAAUAUAAAGUGUAAAUUUAAGCAGUGUUCUAGAAAAUUCAAGGCAAAGUAGUUUAAACCAUUUGGCUCUUCCUAGAGGUUCUGAUUUUUUUUUUUAACCUGAAAAAGUAGGUAAUUACUCGAUAGCCUUAGCUCUAAAAUAUAUCUGACAGGUUAUUUUUAUUUGUUUGGUUUUCAGAAAUCAUAUCCAUGUUUUCUACUCUCUGUAGUCUUAGCAAAAUGAAUCAAAGCCACUCUGUAUCCAAAGGUAACACUAUGGUUGUCUUUUUUUUUUUUUUUUUUUUUUUAACAUUGCAGGCUUUACCUCAAGUGCUAUGCAGUAAAUUUACAGGGAAAGAAAUAUUUUAUUAAAUUAUAACUGAGAGGAGCGGAUUUUUUUUAUAUAGCAAACAAAAAAUUCCUUCAUGAAAGGUUAUAAAACCGAUAUUAUUUACCAGAGAGACCUUUCCUGUCUCCCAGGUAAACACUUACAGUGUGUAGACUUGUGUAAAUACAUAUUUAGGAGUGGCUAAAUAUGGCGAGGUAUUUUUAAAGCCAUAUUUACAAAGCUGAAUACAUAUAUUGGCAUUUUGGAAUGUGUAAGCUGGGCAUGCUGCUCUGCUGUCUAUUCAGAAUUCUAGCAGGACGCUGCUAGAUACACCUCAGAUAUGGGGACCGAAUUUCAAAACAUUCAUCUUUAAUCAGAAUUACUAAAGACAGGUCCUUAAAUCAUUUCAAAAGUGUGAAAAUUUUCAACUAAUGGAGUUCAAGACUUUCUCACCAGUUUGACUUGAGGAAAAUUGUUUCAGAAAUGCAGGCGUCAUUCAUGGAAAUAAAAUUUCUUUUCU